CAUGACAUGCCUGUUUGGCGGCGAUGGUGGUGCCUGUUGCUCCUGGAGAACAAUUCUUUGAACAGGUAGACAGUUUAAGUAAACUAGAUGUCCUAAUUAACUGGAAGACAAUCAAUAUAUUGUACUUAAAGACAUAUUGUCAUUACAGUUGUGGGAAAAUCUUCGCCCACUGGACCAAAGAAUGUCAAGAGCUCAUUGCUGGAAAGCAUACUCCGGUCUUCAGUCUAAAGAGGAAGGCAGAGCAGCAGGACAUAGAGGUUAGAAAAUUGCCUUGUAAAAACAGUAUUAUCUCAGUGGGAGUCCUUCAAAAUGCACAUAGUUGUAUGGAUCAACAUUGUCUCGAUGUAUUUGGUAAUUGAUGUUACUUUUCAAAUUGACUUGUUAAGGAAACCAUGACGCAGACGGCAUCGGAUGUCCGAAGAAUGUGCAUGGCAGAGUCGAUGCAAUUCUGUGUCUACCAGACAUCGAACAACACAGGAGAGAGGUGUGUUGCAGACUCAAUUUAAUAAAUGCAAUUAUCGGGGCCUAUUCAGUGAUUUUCCAUGAAGUGACCACUUUUACAUAUAGUUUAAAUGCACGAAUCAUGCAGGAAAAUUAUUUAUACAUUCAAAUGUGCUGCAGAGGUAUAAUCAAUUGGACAGCGUGUUUGUUUAAUAUUAUGUUUGUCUCUCAUUUGAUAAGAUUGCUUUACCCUGAGGUAAAAUUGAUCAAAUGGGUCCAGUGCAAGACGUGCAGGGGCUGGCUGCAUCAGGAUUGUGCUGGGAUUGAAAUGGAGCCGUUUGACUGCGGGUGCGAGGACUCCAUUGAGCAUCCUCGGUAUAACAUAAUUUAUCAAGGAAACAUAGUAUCAGUCAAAAAUACGAGGCUCAAAGGAUGAAAAAAUGAGGGCUUGCUCUUUUCUUAUUUCUCUGCAGGAUCAAGGAUGCUGUCGACAGUGGAAGAAUUCAUGCUGUCUUUUCUAAGACACAGAUCAAGGUUGCUUUUGAAUGCACUAUCAGUUGUUAAAGCCACCGUUUCUUUUUCAGAUGAUUACAUUUUUGUCUCUUGCUCUUUGGUUUCAGACAUUACAUGAUGAUCUCCUGUCCGGAAAGCUCCGCUCAAACCGAAUGUUCCUUUGGAGGAAUCCCGCCACCUCACUCCGACUCAAGCAGCACCUCAAGAUAAAGACAUUAAGUUGGAGUGAGCAGCGCGUAAGUAAAAAUGCCAUCCAUCAUGAGUAUUUUUACUCUCAGGGGUGUUACAUUUGAA
Molecule: non-coding RNA, 1248 nt
Organism: Xyrichtys novacula (pearly razorfish)
Lineage: Eukaryota; Metazoa; Chordata; Actinopteri; Labriformes; Labridae
Source: the annotation of a GenBank genome assembly